UUUAAUAACUCAAUACUUUUUUUCUUUGCAAUGUUGCAGAAGAUGGGCAAGAUGCUGGGCCCCUUAUCUAGAUUAAAAGAUGUGAUAGUCGGCGGGCACCGACGGGGUUCCGUUAUCAGAGGCAGCACCUCGUCAGAACAUUAAGAUAAUGAAGGAAACAGAGGCUACCUCAUCUGAACACUAGGAUAAUGACGAAAACAGGGUGAGAAAUGUAUAAUUGUGAUUUGGUUAUGUUACUAGAGGCAUCACCACAUCAGAACAUUAAGACAACGACAAAGAGAGAUGUCGGGUUGUGAUUUGCUAGGUUUUAUUGAGUGGACCUGACCUAUUUCUCUUACGACAAUGUUACACUACUUGUUAAUAUUUGCUUGCUUGUUAUGCAGCAAUUGCUUUUAGUUGUGGUUUCUUAUGUGCAUUGUACUUGUUAACAUUUUAGCAUUAUGAAAUUGGUUUUAGCUUUCGCUGAAUCAGUGCCAUGUUGUGGUGUAAGUAACUGAAACCUUGUUACUAGGAUCUAAUAUGAAUUGUGAAACUAGUUUCUGGCGUCAUCCUACCUUUCAGCUUCUUUGGAUAUAUAAUGCCUAGUUGAUAAUGUUGGAAGUCAGCAUCGGCAUGAAGCCAUCUGUUUGUCCUGGUGAAUGGAGAUUUCGAGAGUCUGAAUAGACUUGGUUUUUGCAUAUCUGGAGAUUUGCAAUCUUUAAUGUCCUCUCAACCAUUAACAUUUCUCAGGUCUUGUUGAAAGCCAAGCCUUUUAACACCGUCUUUAAUAGCAACGUAUAAUG
This 782-nucleotide long non-coding RNA is filed under the name Panax ginseng (ginseng). Its description in RNAcentral is "long non-coding RNA (PGIN_LNC005740)". The record is from RNAcentral. Lineage: Eukaryota; Viridiplantae; Streptophyta; Magnoliopsida; Apiales; Araliaceae.